UACGUAGGGGGCAAGCGUUGUCCGGAAUCAUUGGGCGUAAAGCGCGCGUAGGCGGCCCGAUCAGUCCGCUGUAAAAGUCCAAGGGCUCAACCCUGGAAAGCCGGUGGAUACUGUCGGGCUAGAGUCCGGAAGAGGCGAGUGGAAUUCCUGGUGUAGCGGUGGAAUGCGCAGAUAUCAGGAGGAACACCGAUAGCGAAGGCAGCUCGCUGGGACGGUACUGACGCUGAGGUGCGAAAGCGUGGGGAGCGAACAGG
RNAcentral lists this ribosomal RNA (254 nucleotides) under uncultured bacterium. RNAcentral's name for it is "partial 16S ribosomal RNA". It matches the Rfam family "Bacterial small subunit ribosomal RNA", at positions 524 to 776 of the family's 1533-position model. The record is from RNAcentral.